Molecule: ribosomal RNA, 253 nt
Filed under: uncultured bacterium
Lineage: Bacteria
Description: partial 16S ribosomal RNA
Rfam family: Bacterial small subunit ribosomal RNA
Source: RNAcentral
UACGUAGGGUGCGAGCGUUAAUCGGAAUUACUGGGCGUAAAGCGUGCGCAGGCGGUUCUCCAAGUUCGUUGUGAAAGCCCCGGGCUCAACCUGGGAAUGGCAGUGGAAACUAGGGGACUGGAAUCUGGCAGAGGGGGGUGGAAUGCCGCGUGUAGCAGUGAAAUGCGUAGAGAUGCGGCGGAACACCGAUGGCGAAGGCAGCCCCCUGGGCUGAGAUUGACGCUCAGGCACGAAAGCGUGGGGAGCAAACAGG